RNAcentral lists this transfer RNA (101 nucleotides) under Saccharomyces kudriavzevii IFO 1802. It matches the Rfam family "tRNA". Rfam says of the family: Transfer RNA (tRNA) molecules are approximately 80 nucleotides in length. Their secondary structure includes four short double-helical elements and three loops (D, anti-codon, and T loops). The record is from Rfam by way of RNAcentral. Lineage: Eukaryota; Fungi; Ascomycota; Saccharomycetes; Saccharomycetales; Saccharomycetaceae.
GGCACUAUGGCCGAGUGGUUAAGGCGAGAGACUCGAAUAGAUUAAAAAGUUCGGCUAUCUCUUGGGCUCUGCCCGCGCUGGUUCAAAUCCUGCUGGUGUCG